AGUGAACGCUGGCGGUAGGCCUAACACAUGCAAGUCGAACGGCAGCACAGUAAGAGCUUGCUCUUACGGGUGGCGAGUGGCGGACGGGUGAGGAAUACAUCGGAAUCUACUUUUUCGUGGGGGAUAACGUAGGGAAACUUACGCUAAUACCGCAUACGACCUACGGGUGAUAGCAGGGGAUCUUCGGACCUUGCGCGAUUGAAUGAGCCGAUGUCGGAUUAGCUAGUUGGCGAGGUAAAGGCCCACCAAGGCGACGAUCCGUAGCUGGUCUGAGAGGAUGAUCAGCCACACUGGAACUGAGACACGGUCCAGACUCCUACGGGAGGCAGCAGUGGGGAAUAUUGGACAAUGGGCGCAAGCCUGAUCCAGCCAUACCGCGUGGGUGAAGAAGGCCUUCGGGUUGUAAAGCCCUUUUGUUGGGAAAGAAAAGCAGCAGGUUAAUACCCCGCUGUUCUGACGGUACCCAAAGAAUAAGCACCGGCUAACUUCGUG
RNAcentral lists this ribosomal RNA (492 nucleotides) under uncultured bacterium. RNAcentral's name for it is "partial 16S ribosomal RNA". It matches the Rfam family "Bacterial small subunit ribosomal RNA", at positions 29 to 507 of the family's 1533-position model. The record is from RNAcentral.